This 285-nucleotide RNase P RNA is filed under the name Minisyncoccota bacterium. RNAcentral's name for it is "RNase P RNA component class A". It matches the Rfam family "Bacterial RNase P class A". Rfam says of the family: Ribonuclease P (RNase P) is a ubiquitous endoribonuclease, found in archaea, bacteria and eukarya as well as chloroplasts and mitochondria. Lineage: Bacteria; Bacillati; Minisyncoccota. The record is from RNAcentral.
UCUCUUCCUCAAAUGAUCGCGAUCUUUAAUUUAUUUUAAAGAUUGAGGAAAGUCGGAACACAUACUUUGUAAAAAGUUAAAAUGGUAGCGGGUAACGCCCGUCCAUCGUAAGAUGAGAGUUGCGAACAGAAACGAUCCGAUUUAAUUCGGCUGAAACGGCAAAAUACUUACCCAUGUGCAAGGUCGUGCUCUAAUUUAUUAGAGAGUGCCGCUCGAGAAUAUUAGUAAUAAUAUCCCUAGAUAAAUGAUCAUAUAAACAGAAUUCCGCUUAUGAGAAGAGAAUAU